UACAGAGGGGGCGAGCGUUGUUCGGAAUUACUGGGCGUAAAGGGCGCGUAGGUGGCCUGUUAAGUCGAACGUGAAAUCCCCAGGCUCAACCUGGGAACUGCGUCCGAUACUGGAUGGCUUGAAUCCGGGAGAGGGAUGCAGAAUUCCAGGUGUAGCGGUGAAAUGCGUAGAUAUCUGGAGGAAUACCGGUGGCGAAGGCGGCAUCCUGGACCGGCAUUGACGCUGAGGAGCGAAAGCCAGGGGAGCAAACGGG
RNAcentral lists this ribosomal RNA (253 nucleotides) under uncultured bacterium. RNAcentral's name for it is "partial 16S ribosomal RNA". It matches the Rfam family "Bacterial small subunit ribosomal RNA", at positions 524 to 776 of the family's 1533-position model. The record is from RNAcentral.